This is a long non-coding RNA of Oncorhynchus tshawytscha (Chinook salmon), 1759 nucleotides long. NCBI's taxonomy places the organism in Eukaryota, Metazoa, Chordata, Actinopteri, Salmoniformes, Salmonidae. The record is from Ensembl.
UUUAAGGUUGACAAGGACAGCAUUGCCCCUUUAAGGUUGACAAGGACAGCAUUGCCCCUUUAAGGUUGUCAAAGCCAGCAUUUCCCCUUUAAGGUUGUCAAAGCCAGCAUUGCCCCUUUAAGGUUGACAAGGACAGCAUUGCCCCUUUAAGGUUGACAAAGCCAGCAUUGCCCCUUUAAGGUUGACAAGGACAGCAUUGCCCCUUUAAGGUUGUCAAGGACAGCAUUUCCCCUUUAAGGUUGUCAAGGACAGCAUUGCCCCUUUAAGGUUGUCAAGGACAGCAUUGCCCCUUUAAGGUUGUCAAGGACAGCAUUGCCCCUUUAAGGUUGUCAAGGACAGCAUUGCCCCUUUAAGGUUGUCAAGGACAGCAUUGCCCCUUUAAGGUUGUCAAGGACAGCAUUGCCCCUUUAAGGUUGUUUCUCUGUAUACAUCAAUGAUGUCGCUCUUGCUGUGGGUGCUUCUUUGAUCCACCUCUACUCAGACGACACCAUUCUGUUUACAUCUGGACUGAAGUUGGAGACUUUUAUCUCCCUCACUAACUUCAAGCAUCAGCUGUCAAAGCAGCUAACCGAUCGCUGCAGUGGUACACAGCCCAUCCGUAAAUAGUCCAUCCAACGAACUACAUACCUCAUCCCAUAUUUGUUUUUGUUUUUCUGCUCUUUUGCACACCAGUAUUUCUACUUGCACAUCCUCAUCUGCACAUCUCACUCCAGUGUUAAUUGCUAAAUUGUAAUUACUUUGCCACUAUUGGCCUAUUUAUUGCCUUACCUCCUUACUUCAUUUGCACACACUGUAUACAUAUUUUUCUAUUGUGUUAUUGACUGUACGUUUGUUAAUCCCAUGUGUAUCUCUGUGUUGUUGUUUUUGUGGCAUUGCUUUGCUUUAUCUUGGCCAGGUCGCAGUUGUAAACGAGAACUUGUUCUCAACUGGCCUACCUGGUUAAACAAAGGUGAAAUAAAUAAAAAAAAAUGAUCUGCCUCUUUUUUUCAAUUUUCGCCAAAUCUAACUGCCUGUAAGCUCAGACCCUGACGCAAGGAUAAGCAUAUUCUUGGUACCAUUUGAAAGGAUACACUUUGAAGUUUGUGGAAAUGUGAAAAGAUUGUAGGAGAAUGUAACACUGCAGAUUUGAUAAAAAGAUAACACAAAGAAAAAAAAACCUUUCAUUUGUAUUUUUUUGUACCAUCAUCUUUGAAAUGCAAGAGAAAGUCCAUAAUGUAUUAUUCCAGCCCGGGUGCAAUUUCGAUUUUGGCCACUAGAUGGCAGCAGUGCAUGUGCAACAUUUUUAGACUGAUCCAAUGAACCAUUGCAUUUAUGUUCCAAAUUUUGUGUCAAGACUGCCCAAAUGUGACUCAUUUGUUUAUUAAUAACUUUUCAUGUUCAAAAUUGUGCACUCUCCUCAAGCAAUAGCACGGUAUUAUUUCACUGUAAUAGCUACUGUAAAUUGGACAGUGCAGUUAGAUUAGAAUUUCAGCUUUCUGCAUACAUCACAUAUGUCUAUGUCCUGGGAAAUGUUCUUGUUUCUUAUAACCUCAUGCUUGUCGCAUUAGCCUACGUUAGCUCAACAGCCCCGUGGAUGGGACACCGAUCCCGAAGAAGUAAGGUUGUCAAGGCCAGCAUGCCCCUUUAAGGUUGUCAAGGCCAGCAUUGCCCCUUUAAGGUUGUCAAGGCCAGCAUUGCCCCUUUAAGGUUGUCAAGGCCAGCAGGGGAGAGUGAGGUGGUGGGCUCUCAUGACUCAGUCCAAGUUGAGGAAGUUAGAUAG